RNAcentral lists this long non-coding RNA (1691 nucleotides) under Cairina moschata (Muscovy duck). Its description in RNAcentral is "domestica (muscovy Duck (domestic type)) lncRNA (ENSCMMG00000004733.1)". Lineage: Eukaryota; Metazoa; Chordata; Aves; Anseriformes; Anatidae. The record is from RNAcentral.
CCCUACAGGGGCAAGGCACAGGCCUGCUCUUUUUAGGCCUUCCAUUUUUAGGCCUGCCAUUUCCUACCAAACAGUGCAUCAGCGACCCCAGACCACACAAGGCCAGGAAAGCUUGGAUUUGGAGGGACAUCAAGAGCCAGCAUGUAAACCACAGGGGGAUCUCCGCUCUGUGUCUCAGAAGGCAGAGACGAACACCAGGGCGAGCUGUGGGGAGAGGCAGGGCUCUGCGCUGGGCCAGCCUGUAUGUGCCUCUGGUUUCUGCCUGUUCAGGGGAAGGGUGCCUAGUUACAGCAUUAUGCUUCAAAUAUUUCAGGAGAAAAAAAAAAAAAGAAAAAGAAAAAAAAAUAACCCAAAUAGUUUUCAAGCCUCUUGCUUCAGCAGAACGUUCCCCACGAGGCUGCUGUUACUAAGAUCUGUUGGUAACUGGGACUGAUACCAACAUCGUACCCAGCUGGCAGAGAAUGAAAGGUCAGCAGUUGAACAAAUCGAGGAGAUUUGCAGCCAAGAAGGCUGGGAGGUCUGCAUUUGAAACAGGAAAAUGAACUGGUCGCACUAGUGCUUGCUGAGUGUCUUCAGUAAAGCCAAAACUUUAUGGAAAAGGCCUGAAGAUCAAUCUCUGUUCUUAUUAUUCUUCCCUACAGCAGCACCAUUCCUGUAAGAGGGCAUGGGGUUAUCUGUUGGUUGCUGUUUGUUUAGUCAGUGCUGUAUGAGGACCUAGCAGCUCCCACCUGGAAGCACAACAAAGCCACCCGUUACUUUGUCCAACCGUGCUGCUGCUUCACUUCCAUAAGAUCUUCCAUAAGAUCCAUAAGAUCUUCUAAGAGCAGUGAUCUAUUUCUUGCAAGUUCUGAUGAAAUGUAUUCACUGAAGUUAAAAACUGAAGUACCAGAGUUUCAGAACAACGUGUUAAUAUCCCAUUGCAGUAAGUGUUGUUUGUUUUGUGUUUGUUUGCUUUUUCAUGAACAUUUCUGAAGGAACAGUGUCUUUUGAUUACCUAAUCCUCUGAAACGAAACAUGUAGUCACCCUGAGCUGGCCGGGUUGAGCUGUGAUGGACAGGGAGAAACAGGCAAAAAGGAGGCCAAGGGAAAGAUCCCCACAUGAGUAACUGUGUUAGUACUGUGCAACUUGGUGCAAGUCCUAAUAAAAUAUAAUCAAAGACAGCUUUAUAGAGGUGAAGUAAUAUCAGUGUACAACACGUAGUAUACGAAGUCACCAGGUGUUUUAAUGGUAACAGGCCACAACCUCUCCUGACAUUGCUUCCAGGAAUGAUACUUAUAAAUUGGCCCUGUUCUGUCUCCAGGAAGAGGUGAGAAGGGAAGACAUGCUGGGAUGUGCCUGCUACCUCUGCUGCUUUGCAGAAGGGAGAGCAGAAAGGCAACAGACACUGCAGCGGUUCUGCUUCCCUUCUGCAACAAAACCCAGCCAUUUCUAGCAUUUCAACUCUGCUUUUUGGAGCAAUAAUUUAAAAGCUCAUCAUUUUUUCUACUAAUUUUAAAAUAUUGCUUCACCAAAACAGUAGUCUCCAUUCAUCAGUCCCUGUUUGCACAAGUGUCUCUGGACUCUUUCAGUGUGUUUAUUUUCUUCCCAAACAGAAUAUAAUUCUGUUUUCAUCAUUAAUUAUACAGUCCCGUGUUUUGUUUUCCUUUUUCUGGCCUGCAUAAAGUUUUCCACAUUUUUUGCUGUCUUCCUG